GAUGAACGCUGGCGGCGUGCCUAAUACAUGCAAGUCGAGCGAACGGACGAGAAGCUUGCUUCUCUGAUGUUAGCGGCGGACGGGUGAGUAACACGUGGAUAACCUACCUAUAAGACUGGGAUAACUUCGGGAAACCGUAGCUAAUACCGGAUAAUAUUUUGAACCGCAUGGUUCAAAAGUGAAAGACGGUCUUGCUGUCACUUAUAGAUGGAUCCGCGCUGCAUUAGCUAGUUGGUAAGGUAACGGCUUACCAAGGCAACGAUGCAUAGCCGACCUGAGAGGAUGAUCGGCCACACUGGAACUGAGACACGGUCCAGACUCCUACGGGAGGCAGCAGUAGGGAAUCUUCCGCAAUGGGCGAAAGCCUGACGGAGCAACGCCGCGUGAGUGAUGAAGGUCUUCGGGUCGUAAAACUCUGUUAUUAGGGAAGAACAUAUGUGUAAGUAACUGUGCACGUCUUGACGGUACCUAAUCAGAAAGCCACGGCUAACUACGUG
Molecule: ribosomal RNA, 497 nt
Filed under: uncultured bacterium
Lineage: Bacteria
Description: partial 16S ribosomal RNA
Rfam family: Bacterial small subunit ribosomal RNA
Source: RNAcentral